Helianthus annuus (common sunflower) is the source of this 2286-nucleotide long non-coding RNA. RefSeq lists it as uncharacterized. The transcript has 6 exons. Lineage: Eukaryota; Viridiplantae; Streptophyta; Magnoliopsida; Asterales; Asteraceae. The record is from RefSeq and is a predicted model, not a curated record.
ACAGCAUAUAUGUGAAAAUAUGUUUUGAUAUCUAUCUAUAUCUAUACUAUUAUAAAAAAGAGAAGUGAUGUAUAAAAAAGUAAUUUGACUAUGCUGGUAGAAGAGGAAGUUCAUCAGAUUUUUAAGACGCUGCAGGGACAGGCUAGGGAUUUCAUCCUACAUUCAUGUCACUAAUCAAUCUCACCACCGUAUGUCCUUUCAUCUUCCUCCUAAAUCCCUAUAGAACCAGAUGAUCGGUCCAUCCCUUUUUCAUGAACCUUCAAUCCCUUGUACGGUGAAGAUUGUGGAUGAUAGCAACGCACACGAUCUGAACAGGAUGAGGAAUUUUACCUCACUUCAUUCCGAUUUGACUCUGUUUUCUUCUUUCAAGUAUCUGCACUGAAAUCGAGUUUCUACAAACUUCUUGAUCCGUUUAUCAGGAUAUCUCUCUUCUUCAUGGUCUGGGAAUCAAAUUUGUUCUUGUUCCAGGGAAACAUGUACAGAUUGAUAAGCUUUUAGCUGAAAAGGGACGUGAACCAAAAUACGUUGGAAGAUACAGAAUUACCGACCCUGAUUCGCUCAAGGCCGCGACGGAUUUAGCUGGAAGAAUCCGGUUGAUGAUCGAGGCAAAGUUGUCACCAGGGUCGUCUUUAUGCGACAUCCGUAGACACGGAGAGAAAAGGCCGUUGCAUUCUAGUGUCAGUGUUGCAAGUGGUAAUUUUCUUGCUGCCAAGGAAGGAGGAGUUUUCGAAGGCAUUCAUUAUGAAGUAACGGGUGAAGUAAAGAAAGUGGAUGUUCAUCGCAUACGUGAGCAGCUGGAUAAUGAUUCUAUUGUGAUUUUAAGCAACCUUGGAUAUUCUAGCUCCGAAGGUGUACUGAAUUGCAAGUAUGCUAUGUAGUUGUUAAUAGGUAUUUUUUGUUACUGUUUGCCGGGAUCUAAACAAAUAUAAAAAUAACAAGAUUAUCGUCGCUCCAUCCCAAGUUUUUUGACCCGAGUAAUAAAAAUAGGUUUUCGGUGACCCACGAUUAUGUUGGAGACAUAGUUUUGAUGCAAACUUUUUAAUUAUUAAUUGAUUUUUGUGGUAAAUAAUAAUGCAACAUGUAGGAAGUUGCUAAAGCUUGUGCGUUGGCGCUUGGAGCAAAGUAACUUAUCUGCAUUAUCGAUGGGCCAAUUCUGGAUGACUGGGGCUGGUUAAUCAGAUUUUUGACACUUGAAGAUGCUGACAUGUUAAUACUUAGGUGAGCCAAGCAAAGCGAGAUUGCAGGUCCGCUCUUCUCUUCUGCUCCUACACACUGAUCGAAUAACGAGGAUUCCAUUUUCCGGUGUCGGUUUCGUCAUUACAAGAGUGGUAGGGUUGUUUUCGGAGAGUACAACCGUUACUCCGAUUGUUUGGUUGUGAUAGAAAAGAUGCAAGGGCGGACUAGAGUUCAGGAUAGGCGAUGAAGCCUUGUAUUUGUGGUCCGAUCGGAGGUAAUAUAUGGCAAGCGUUGGUGAAUCACCCGCUAACUUUUUUACUUUUCAAAUUGCAGGAAUCCAGUCGCACCAUAGGUACAUCUUCAAUGAUCAGGCGGUUUCUGAUCCCUCACGAAGCCCUUUGCUCAAAUCGUGCACGCGAAGUCCACUCAGUACAAAUAGACGGAACGAAAAUCAACUUAGUCGCCACCACCGCUGCCAAGAAACCAGCAAGAUGAUUAUUUAUUUGGGAUGAUUUUGUUUGAUCUAGGAGGCUGAACGUUCAAGAUCCUUCAGAUUAUGGCAUACGCUGAACCUGUACAUGGAGUAACGGAUGCAAGGCAAGUGACUAAUCUUCCUAGAAAACCCCGAGUUCUGCUAGCUGCAAGUGGAACUGUGGCUGCCAUAAAAUUCGGGAACCUGUGCAGCUGUUUUUCAUAUUGGGUAGAUGUAAAAGCUGUUGCAACACUACCGGCUCUACAUUUUAUUGAUAAAACAACACUCUCGAAAGAUGUGAUUCUUUAUACGGAUGAGCAUGAAUGGUCUUCUUGGUCAAAGAUUGGAGAUAGGGUGCUCCACAUUGAGCUCCGUCAAUGGGCUGAUGUUAUGGUAAUCGCCCUGUUGUCCGCAAAUACACUCUCCAAGAUAACAUAUCAUGGCGAUUUGUACCCUCUUUCCUAGAUGUAGCAAAUGGGCGGGUUGGGCAAUGGGUUAUUUUACUACGCGUCGGGUUGGAUUGAACAGUAAACAUUUUCUUGCCCACUUUCUCUUCUUUUUUAUAUACAUAGUUAAUGUUUUUUUGGGUAAAGAUAUACAUAGUUAAUGUUAUAUGAUAAAUAAACAGUAUUUGAUAA